AUGAAAGAGUAUGCAGAUGCUGCUAAAUUUGGUGGUCAGAAUGGAUGGACCAAAGAAGGAUGGAAAAGCAUGGCUACACGCUUGAACAAUCAGUUUUCGAGAGCUAAUUUUAUUGUUGAUCAACUAAAAUUUAGGGAGCAGCGGUUGAAGAAAGAAUAUUUUAUUGUCAAAUCUAUUGUAGAGAAGAGUGGCUUCGGUUUUGAUCCUAAUACAAAAAUGCCAACAACCAUUGAUGAAAAAUGGGAUGAAUUGAGCAAAGAACAAUAGAAGUGGAGAUACAAAGCCUUCCCUUACUAUGAUGACUUGCAUGCAAUUUAUGAUGGUGAAACAGCGGAGGGGAAGGGUUGUAAGAGGACAACUGAUGUUCUAGAUGACGCUGGGCUUAAUUCGCCUAGUCCAACAUUACCGGCUCCAGGCUUUGAAGGUCAUAAUUACGAGUGGACCGAAGGCAUAUACAGUGAGGAUGUUGAAGUAUUUCCUGUUAACAACACAUAACGUAUGGAGAAUAACAGUAGCCAAAUUCCCACAGAACACAUGAACACAUUUCCUGACCCAUCACCUAUGAAAAAGGCUAGGACUUCUAAAGGCAAUGAUGAAGGUAAGGCUAAGAGAGGCAAAGAAACAGCGGUUGAAGAUCUGGUUGCUGUUAGAAAAGAAGAACUUAAAACUUAUGUGGAUGUAAAGACGAAACAAAUUGAGAGCUAUAGAGAAGUGAAAACGGCUUUUACGACUUGUAGGAGGACUAGCUAA
Molecule: ribosomal RNA, 750 nt
Filed under: Triticum aestivum (bread wheat)
Lineage: Eukaryota; Viridiplantae; Streptophyta; Magnoliopsida; Poales; Poaceae
Description: partial small subunit ribosomal RNA
Source: RNAcentral